CACAAAUCAUACUGUACCUGUAACUAGGACCAAAAACAGGACCCAACAUUCUGUGUACAGUUUGAUAAGCAGAAUGUAUUUAUUAUUGAAAACAUAAAUAUAUAAAUUAUAAUCAUUGCUGUUUUUAUCCAAUAGAGGCCCAAAUAAAAAAUCCUAUUAGCCUGUGUUGUUGCAGUUUCUUUAGUUACUGUAAGCAAUGGUCCCUGGUCUAUUGACAAUGAAUGAAUAAAUGAAUGCAUUGCAAAAUGGUGGUGAAACUUCUUCUGAUUUCCUUUAUACAUAUAGCACCAAUGGAAUCACCUUGGAAGUCUGUAUAGUGCAGUUGAAGAUGUUGUUACCACAACACAAAGCAGCUGCAGAUACAGUCAUCUAUUUUCUCUCAACAUGUCUCUCACCCAGGACUUCAUAAAGUGCUGAUCUAGGAUCAGUUUAGUUGUUUAGAUCAUAAUGAAUAAGAUGAACAGCACUCCUACUCUGAGACAUUUAGUGCUGAUCUAGGAUCAGUUUAGCUGUUUAGAUCAUAAUGAAUAAGAUGAACAGCACUCCUACUCUGAGACAUUUUGGAAAAGUGCCCAGGUCUUUCUAUUGAUUCAGUGUGUGCCAAACGACAACCUAUUCCCGAUGUAGCGCACUAAUUUUGGCCAGUGGCUCUGGUCUAAAGUAGUGCACUGCAAUCUACGGGAAAUAGGGUGUUGUUAGAGAUUUGGUGUCAGUCUCUCCAUAAACAGUGGUAUCUUCUUUUUCGAUCUUUCACUCAUCAACAGUGGAACAGUCUUCAUCGUUGUUAACGUGUCAACAGUGGAACAGUCUUCCUCGUUGUUAACGUGUCAACAGUGGAACAGUCUUCCUCGUUGUUAACGUGUCAACAGUGGAACAGUCUUCAUCGUUGUUAACGUGUCAACAGUGGAACAGUCUUCAUCGUUGUUAACGUGUCAAUGGAAGACUGCUGCUUGAUUAACUAGGAAACCAUCCAUGUUGGUUUGUUCACAAACUCUCUCUCAUUCAAGAUGGACUUUGUACUCGUUAAGAACAGCUUGUGUGCUGGUGGGGCGGACUGGGUACCAUCUUAUCAAAGGAGUGUGAUGUGGGUUAAAAGUGGUUUCACACACACAUUUAUGUGCACACACACACACACACAUGCUGAACGUGUGUGUUCUGUUGUGUAUAAUGGCGCUCUGGUUACUGGGUGUAACUUUUGGCUAGAUAACUGGGUUAAAGAGACACAGUCCAACGAUGCCCCAGAUUGAGUCUUCCUCAGCCAGCUCUGCACUAACCUGAUCUCAGAUCGGUUUGUGCUGUCUUGCCAAUGACUAUAUGUGUUUGGAGGACAACACAAACUGAUCUGGGACCAGGUUAGCUCUAUCCAGCGCUCUAGAUAAUACAGUACAGCACUGCUGAUGUAAGGCUGCCCUACACCACCAAACAGGGUGCAUUGCUGGGGACUUAUACAUUUCCUCACCCCCAUUCCUGCAUCGUUUCCAUGGAUUAAAUAAAAGCCUUCAACCACAACAAACAAAGAAAUAACAAACAUACUUCCUACUUGAAUAUAAGUAAGCAUAAUAUAUUUUCUUAACAAAAAUAAAGCAUCUUCCUGUACUUGUACAGACUCUGUCCUCCCCAUCUCCUCCUCGCCACGCUUCCUUACAUUUCCAGCCCAUACAACUAGACUUGAGACUGUUCAGAUAAUAUACUGGCACAUAAUAAGACAACAUUGAACAUGCGUAACAACUACAUGAACAUGUGGACAUGAAGAUUCACUACCAGAGGAUCAGACAGAACAUGACUCUUACAUGUCACAGAAAACAUAACAAUGUCUUGGAGGGAGAGAGAGAGAAAUGAAAACGUUUACACGUAUAAAUAGUUUAUUAGUAGCAAUGAAUGAAUCUUCCUUUCUGAAUCGUUCUGUAGUGUAUAUGGCGACUGGCACAAUCCCAAUAGGAGCAGAUAGGGAAACCCAAGAGAGAGAGAAGCAGAGAAGCCGCUUGGAACAACAGGUCCUGAUGAUUGCAAACACUUUUCCCAACACUUUAUCCAAAAGAAACAAAAUGGGCAACCAUUUUAUGAGUUCCAGAAUGUUCACAAGUUCCACUACAGUUUACAGAGAGUUCCGGAACAACAAGUAACACGACCAGUACCUUCUACACCUCUCUACAACUUCUCUCAACAUCUCUUUCCCUCUCUCCCUCUCUUUUUCUCUCUGUCAGUCAUUGACUGUCCAGGCAAGUGUCACUUAGGCCAACGGCUAGGAACAUGCAAGCCUCCACACGUCCCAAAGAGUUCACUGAUUGUCCCUCUCUGUGUCCUUUUAGGAUCCAGUCAACAGAUCCCCCAUCAAGGCUUAAUCCAAUGAUCCAUCCUGGAUCUCUCUCUGUGAUCGUCAAACUGUCCUGUUUACCCAAACAAACGACAACCCAUCUUGUCCUCCUCUUCUCUUUUCUGCCCAGGUCUUUAUCGCCUUCACCAUCCUCAUCCGCAUCACUGUUCGAUUGGUUGGUUCUGCUGCACUUGACAGAGACCUUCUGCAUUACUUUUUACGGUAAUAGAAAAAAGCACCUUUGGCAUUUUAUUAACUUUUUCUCUUUUUUUCUCUUUACAGUAAUCUUUGUUUUUAAAAGGCGGUAGGUGGGGUGGGGUCAGGGAAGGGGGUAGGUCAGCAGUCCAAAUAUGGCAGCAUCCUCUCUUUGGCCCCUUCCACACUGAAGUCCAAUGCUGCUGGGGUCUCACCUUAUGUCCACUGUGGAGAUGAGAGAGAGAGAGAGAGCUGACAUUAACAUUUAGCAUUUCAUUAGCAUUAGCCUGAUCAUUACUAUUACCAUUAGCUUUAGCAUUACCAUUACCCCCAUAAUUACUAUUACCAUUAGCUUUAGCAUUAGCAUUUCAUUAAUCCCCAUAUUAUUUGAACAUGUUAGAGGUAAAAGGUGAUAUUCAUUCCCCAUUUUGUUCAAUUUGAACGUGUGUCAUAAAGAGAGAGGGACAGACGGACGGACGGAACGACGGACGGAACGAUGGACGGAACACUGGACAGACAGACAGGCAGACGGAACAUUGGACAGACGGGCAGACGGACAGACAGACAGACAGACAGACAGACAGACAGACAGACAGACAGACAGACAGACAGACAGACAGACAGACAGACAGACAGACAGACAGACAGACAGAGACGAGACAGUCAGAACAUUGGACAGACAGACAGACAGACAGACAGACAGACAGACAGACAGACAGACAGACAGACAGACAGACAGACAGACAGACAGAGACGAGACAGUCAGAACAUUGGACAGACAGACAGACAGAGAUGAGACGAGACAGUCAGAACAUUGGACAGACAGACAGACAGAGAUGAGACGAGACAGUCAGAACAUUGGACAGACAGACAGACAGACAGACAGACAGAGAUGAGACAGGACAAAUGGACAGAGAGGAUGAGAGAGAAAGAUAAAGGACAUGAAAUACAGGGGAGAGCAUGGGAAGUAGAGACCAUGUAGAAUGGUAUUUGAAAUCAGAUACACACAGAGACACAGAGACAGCUGGAGUGAAGGACAAAUACUGGUCGGUGAACAAGGUGAGGUUGAAAUACUCAUUCAUAAACUCAUACAGGCAUAAAAACACAACACAAAGAGGAUAUGCAGUGUGCAGGCAGGCAUAAAAAUCACACUAAAUCAUGCAGCGGCAUUCACAGAGCGUGGCCCAUUUCAGCCCUCCCUCUCCUCGCACUGAUUGGGUGUGGUGUUGAUUGUGAUCUGAUUGGCAAACCUUUCUCUGUCCUGAUUGGGCUUGUGACCAGCAGGUGGGUAAUUGGUUGGAUUGCCAUGCUGGUGCUAAAGUCCUCCUACCUGUUGGAGCCGGGGGGUCCGGCGGCCGGACUUUGGAAUAAUGUGUUCAAGUUUAUUAUGUCGCCAAUAAAUCCUUGUUGAGCUUUAGCUUUUUAGCUUUCCUUUUUCUACCUUUAGCCCUAGUAUGGUGGCCUGAAAACACAAGUUGGGGAGGGAGGAUAGGAGGACAAGGACAAGGGUUAGCAAGAGGGGGAAGCAGCAAGGUUUACGACACAAAGAGCAGAAAGCAGAGGAGAUAAAAAGCCUCCAUGACAGAGAGAGAAUUCAAGAGGAUUUGAAAUGACACUAUAAAAAGUUGAGAUGCCUCAGUCCACAUUGUCUCUUCCCAACGGAGGCUUUGGAUCAAGGGGAAAGGAUUGUUACCUGCCGUCCAAGCCAAGCCAAGCAGCCUUUGGACACCCUCCCUUUACACGCAUGCAUGCACGCACACACACACACACACACACACACAGACAAACAAACACCCUCACACACACACUGACACUGUCUUUCUAUCAGACACACACAAGGGGCCUUGCAGGUUUGGCAAUAGAAGUCUAGCUUGCAGGCGUGUCUGUUUUCCCAACAGUGAUAUACAAGAGGUCAUGCAGUGCAAGCUAGAGAGCCAGCAGGCAGGCAGGUAGGCAGGAAGACAGACAGACAGACAGACAGACAGACAGACAGACAGACAGACAGACAGACAGACAGACAGACAGACAGACAGACAGACAGACAGACAGACAGACAGACAGACAGACAGACAGACAGACAGACAGACUAGCAGUAUAAAAAGACCAGGCGUAGGAAGGAAUGACUGAAUGGGGCGGGACUCAGAUACUCAGACAUCCAACCAAACAGUCUGUGAAGGCCAUCUACGCUCCAAUAAAGUUGUGAUAAAUUCAGUCGGCCUUAACAUUAUUUACCUGUGUCUGCGUCUGAGUGCUCGGUCACGUGAUGUUGUGACGUGCACACACACUCCAGGUGGUCUUCUAACCUGACCAAGACCUCUUUCAGCUUGGGUUUCCUCCGCACAUACUCCACCUUGGCCACCUGAACGAAGGGAGGGAGAGAGGUUAACAACACUACCACAAUAACACCAUUUACGCUCGUUUAGGCUUUUUCUGUGUUCCCUUCAUUCACCUUUCACUCUUUCUCCAUUGGCUAACAUCAAGAGAGAUGGAUGAAUGAAAAGAAAGAAAGAGAAAGCCCUGCUCCCUCCUCCAUUUCUCCUUCUCUAACGCCUCUGGCGCAGCCACCGUCAUCUCCCUCUGUUUGAUGUAUGACAGGAGCAUUCCAUUGUGCUGAUGUGCAGCGUUCUAUGGCCUGGUGAUCAGGUGUGUCAAUAUUGAGCAGAGGCUCAAACGAUAGGGAGGGAGGAGGGAGUGACACGCACCAUGAGGCCCAGUGAAGGUUCACCCUGACUGGGGAGAGAUGUUAUUUUGAAUCUUUUUUCAAUUAUUAUUUAAUACAAAAAAAAAUAACAAAUCCCAGCAACUCCCGUACGGACUCGGGAGAGGCGAAGGUCAAGAGCCGUGCGUCCCCCGAAACAUGACCCAACCAAGCCUCACUGCUUCUUGACACAACGCCCGCUUAACCCGGAAGCCAGCCGCACCAAUGUGACGGAGGAAACGCCGUACACCUGGCAACAGUGUUAGAGUGCACUGCGCCCGGCCCGCCACAGGAGUCGCAAACCCUC
RNAcentral lists this long non-coding RNA (5514 nucleotides) under Salmo salar (Atlantic salmon). Its description in RNAcentral is "lncRNA (ENSSSAG00000085352.1)". Lineage: Eukaryota; Metazoa; Chordata; Actinopteri; Salmoniformes; Salmonidae. The record is from RNAcentral.